UUCCGGGUGGAUCUCUGAGGCCGGACGAAACCCGCCACAAAGAGUGUCAGAGCGAGAGAAAGAGCCCAAGCAGUGGCGAGCAGCCGGAGGAGGGAGAAGCAGGUGCCCGCGGGACACUAGCCCGCACGGUUGUGCCCUCUUCAGUCUGCAGGUUGUAAAGAGAUGAAACAGAGGACAAAGGAAGACAUUCAAAGUGACAGAAUGAGGACACCCACUACUACCGGCCUUGAAGAUGGAGGAAGGGAAUCACAAGCCACGGAAUGUAGAUUUGAGGAACUGGGAACAGUGCUCAGCUGACAGCCAGCAAGAAAGCAGGGACUUCAAAAAACCGAAUUCUUCCAACAACUUCAAUAAGCAAGGAUAUGGAACUCUCUCUAGAGCCUUCAGGGAGAAAUGCAGCCCCCUGACACCUUGAUUCUAGCCUCGUGAGA
Long non-coding RNA from Neogale vison (American mink), 431 nucleotides. RefSeq lists it as uncharacterized. The record is from RefSeq and is a predicted model, not a curated record. The transcript has 3 exons. NCBI's taxonomy places the organism in Eukaryota, Metazoa, Chordata, Mammalia, Carnivora, Mustelidae.